Molecule: ribosomal RNA, 495 nt
Filed under: uncultured bacterium
Lineage: Bacteria
Description: partial 16S ribosomal RNA
Rfam family: Bacterial small subunit ribosomal RNA
Source: RNAcentral
GAUGAACGCUGGCGGCGUGCCUAAUACAUGCAAGUCGAGCGAACAGACGAGGAGCUUGCUCCUUUGACGUUAGCGGCGGACGGGUGAGUAACACGUGGGUAACCUACCUAUAAGACUGGGAUAACUUCGGGAAACCGGAGCUAAUACCGGAUAAUAUUUCGAACCGCAUGGUUCGAUAGUGAAAGAUGGCUUUGCUAUCACUUAUAGAUGGACCUGCGCCGUAUUAGCUAGUUGGUAAGGUAACGGCUUACCAAGGCAACGAUACGUAGCCGACCUGAGAGGGUGAUCGGCCACACUGGAACUGAGACACGGUCCAGACUCCUACGGGAGGCAGCAGUAGGGAAUCUUCCGCAAUGGGCGAAAGCCUGACGGAGCAACGCCGCGUGAGUGAUGAAGGUCUUCGGAUCGUAAAACUCUGUUAUUAGGGAAGAACAAACGUGUAAGUAACUGUGCACGUCUUGACGGUACCUAAUCAGAAAGCCACGGCUAACUACG